AAGGGCGUAGUUUAACUGGUAGAAUAACGCAUUCCAAAUGCGUCGGUUGCGAGUUCGAGUCUUGCCGCCCUUG
This 73-nucleotide transfer RNA is filed under the name Percursaria percursa. Its description in RNAcentral is "tRNA-Trp". It matches the Rfam family "tRNA". Rfam says of the family: Transfer RNA (tRNA) molecules are approximately 80 nucleotides in length. The record is from RNAcentral. Lineage: Eukaryota; Viridiplantae; Chlorophyta; Ulvophyceae; Ulvales; Kornmanniaceae.